This 524-nucleotide small RNA is filed under the name Pan troglodytes (chimpanzee). Its description in RNAcentral is "retained intron". The record is from RNAcentral. Lineage: Eukaryota; Metazoa; Chordata; Mammalia; Primates; Hominidae.
GAGGUGUUGAAGGCAGUAGCAGGGACCUACAGGGCCACCCCAUUCUUCACCGUCUACAUCAGUGCCGACUCUAAGAGUUCCAACAGCAAUGUUAUCCAGGUGGACCAGUCUGGGCUCUUUCUGCCCUCUCGGGAUUACUACUUAAACAGAACUGCCAAUGAGAAAGUAAGGAACAUCUUCCGAAUCCCCAUCCCUACCCCUUGCUGAGCUGGGCUGAUCCCUGUUGACUUUUCCCUUUGCCAAGGGUCAGAGCAGGGAAGGUGAGCCUAUCCUGUCACCUAGUGAACAAACUGCCCCUCCUUUCUUUCUUCUUUUCUUCCUCCCUCCCUCCCUCCCUCCCUUUCUUCCCCUUUUCCUUCCUUCCUUCCUCUUAUUCUUCUAGUAGGUUUCAUAGACACCUACUGUGUGCCAGGUCCAGUGGGGGAAUUCUGAGAUAUAAGUUUCCGAGCCAUCGCCACAGGAAGCGUUCAGUGUCGAUGGGUUCAUGGACCUAGAUAGCUGAGAACAAAGCUCACAAGAGGGUC